Molecule: ribosomal RNA, 119 nt
Organism: Pteropus vampyrus (large flying fox)
Lineage: Eukaryota; Metazoa; Chordata; Mammalia; Chiroptera; Pteropodidae
Source: Ensembl
AUCUACGGCCAUGCUACCCUGAACAAGCCCGAUCCCAUCUCAUCUCAGACGCUAAGCAGGAUUGGGCCUGGUUAGUACUUGGGUGGGAGACCACCUAGAAAGUCCAGGUGCUAUAGGCA